This is a long non-coding RNA of Juglans microcarpa x Juglans regia, 281 nucleotides long. RefSeq lists it as uncharacterized. NCBI's taxonomy places the organism in Eukaryota, Viridiplantae, Streptophyta, Magnoliopsida, Fagales, Juglandaceae. The record is from RefSeq and is a predicted model, not a curated record. The transcript is spliced from 2 exons.
CACGUAGCCUUAAAGCUCAAACCCAUUUCAUGGCAUUGCAUGACACCUUGGAAUUAUUUAUUCGGGCCAAGCAGAUGCAGCCUGACAAUAUACACAAUGUAGAUAAACAAAUGAAAAGCAAGGGGGAAAUUGAGAAGCAGAAGAGAACAAAAAAGGACAAAAUCACAAAGCCUUAGCUCAAACCCAUUUCAUGGACACGCAGAUGCAGCCUGACAAUACACACAAUGUAGAUAAACAAAUAAAAAGCAAGGGGGAAAUUGAGAAGCAGAACAGAACAUAAA